RNAcentral lists this ribosomal RNA (487 nucleotides) under uncultured Marmoricola sp. RNAcentral describes it as "partial 16S ribosomal RNA". Lineage: Bacteria; Bacillati; Actinomycetota; Actinomycetes; Propionibacteriales; Nocardioidaceae. The record is from RNAcentral.
CACGUAGUUGGCCGGUGCUUCUUCUCCCACUACCGUCACUUUCGCUUCGUCAUGGGUGAAAGAGGUUUACAACCCGAAGGCCGUCAUCCCUCACGCGGCGUUGCUGGAUCAGGCUUUCGCCCAUUGUCCAAUAUUCCCCACUGCUGCCUCCCGUAGGAGUCUGGGCCGUGUCUCAGUCCCAGUGUGGCCGGUCACCCUCUCAGGCCGGCUACCCGUCGAAGCCUUGGUAGGCCAUUACCCCACCAACAAGCUGAUAGGCCGCGAGCCCAUCCACCACCGCCGAAACUUUCCACCACCAUCAGAUGCCUGAGAUGGUCGUAUCCGGUAUUAGCACCGGUUUCCCGGAGUUAUCCCGAAGUGAUGGGCAGAUUGCUCACGUGUUACUCACCCGUUCGCCGCUCGUGUACCUCCGAAGACGGCCUUACCGCUCGACUUGCAUGUGUUAAGCACGCCGCCAGCGUUCGUCCUGAGCCAGAGUACAAACUCU